AUGGAUCUGACUACAUUACUAUUUACAGAUUUUAACUUUGAUUGCUACUGCAGUGUCAUGGUUGGUUCCGGAAGGAAGCGGCGGACCCAAGUGCAGAGCGGAAUUCGUGGUUUAUUCAGGGAAAUCCAAGAGUGGAGGUCAAGGGACAGGCAGUCGGUCCUCGAGGCGCGAACGUCGUUACAAGGAGAAUCAGAAAGGCAAGCAACCACAAUCUUACAGUGUUGCGGGAAUACUGAUCCACAGCCUGCGCUCUUCCAACCUACAAAACCAGGUGGACUGCGCAGUGAUGACGACUGUCUGACGAUCAGAAUCCCUCUUUAUCAUCCCACCCCCUCCUCUUUGUCCCUAUUCUCUCACCCUAUUCUUCGCCAUUCUCCGCUGUCCUUCCCACCCCCCCCUCUGUACCUCCCCUUCAGAAAAGACUGGGCUGGGGACUGAAGAUCUGUGACAGAGCCUCUCAUUUGUAAUCAGAUGAAAGCAGAGAUAAUCCCGCGCCUGACUCCAUCUUGUUCCCUGCUGUAGCGGGAGGUGGAGACGGGGGGGCGGGGACAGGGAGGGGGGGGUCACCUGUGGAUGUGAAGGAGGAGGGUGGCUUUCUUUUCCCUUCCGAGCCCCUGGACUGACAUGGGUGGUCUGGAGAGCUCUGAGGAUCCAUGAACUCUGAACCUGAAAGGCAGAGCAAGAGAGAGAGAGAGGGAAAGAGAAGGAGAGAGGGAGGUAGCUAUCAAGAGGAGCUCCAGGCCCAGUCUGUACUGACACUACAAGGUAAGCAGGGCUACUACCUACACUGAUCUUAUUCUUUCCUGAAUAAUUCCAGUACUGGCUGGUAAGGGUUUUGCCCUGAGACUGGCUCAGGUGUGGAGAGGUGAGGAGCAGGGUGUGGGUGGCAGGAACUGAGGCCACAGUUGGGCGCUUUUACCUCUACGGAGAGAAAACUGAGUGCUGACCCAGCAACACCCUAUUGUAAGGCCGGCGACAACCAGCUUCCUCGUGGUCUCCUAAAGAUCUCCGACGGCACAUGCGGACAGCGGUCCUCUGCUCGGCGUCCUCCCUGUCCCGUCACACGGCCGUGAUUUUUGGCACUUCCGUAAGAGGUCACACUUUAACUUGGACAAAGUCAGCUGACGGACACUCUUGUGCAGACGAAAUAUCUUUUGUAUAGAAUUGAUAUUUUCUGGCAAAUCUGUUUGUUGCAAAGAUCACUGAAGAUAUACCAGCGGAGGAUGAUGAUUGAAGCAAUAUAAAAUGUACUGAAAUAAAUGCACUUUUUAAAAUGAUGGUUAACUGCA
RNAcentral lists this long non-coding RNA (1289 nucleotides) under Scleropages formosus (Asian bonytongue). RNAcentral describes it as "lncRNA (ENSSFOG00015030098.1)". The record is from RNAcentral. Lineage: Eukaryota; Metazoa; Chordata; Actinopteri; Osteoglossiformes; Osteoglossidae.